RNAcentral lists this unclassified non-coding RNA (347 nucleotides) under soil metagenome. RNAcentral describes it as "partial contains 5.8S ribosomal RNA, internal transcribed spacer 2, and large subunit ribosomal RNA". The stretch from base 1 to 120 matches the Rfam family "5.8S ribosomal RNA", at positions 35 to 154 of the family's 154-position model. The record is from RNAcentral.
GAUGAAGAACGCAGCGAAAUGCGAUAAGUAAUGUGAAUUGCAGAAUCCAGUGAAUCAUCGAAUCUUUGAACGCACAUUGCGCCCGCCAGCAUUCUGGCGGGCAUGCCUGUCCGAGCGUCAUUUCAACCCUCAAGCCCCUCCGGGGGCCUGGCGUUGGGGAUCGGCCCCGCUCCGGCGGCCGGCCCCGAAAUGUAGUGGCGGUCUCGCCGCUGCCUCCUCUGCGUAGUAGAAACACCUCGCAUUGGGACGCGGCGGGCCCACGCCGUUAACCAGAUGAAUUUUUUCAAGGUUGACCUCGGAUCAGGUAGGAAUACCCGCUGAACUUAAGCAUAUCAAUAAGCGGAGGA